RNAcentral lists this ribosomal RNA (29 nucleotides) under Ulva sp. LYG2. RNAcentral describes it as "partial 26S ribosomal RNA". The record is from RNAcentral. Lineage: Eukaryota; Viridiplantae; Chlorophyta; Ulvophyceae; Ulvales; Ulvaceae.
GACCUGAGUUCAGUGAGGCUUACCCCAAA